This 542-nucleotide ribosomal RNA is filed under the name Candida tropicalis. Its description in RNAcentral is "eukaryotic LSU rRNA". It matches the Rfam family "Eukaryotic large subunit ribosomal RNA", at positions 100 to 658 of the family's 3401-position model. The record is from RNAcentral. Lineage: Eukaryota; Fungi; Ascomycota; Pichiomycetes; Serinales; Debaryomycetaceae.
GGCAAAAGCUCAAAUUUGAAAUCUGGCUCUUUCAGAGUCCGAGUUGUAAUUUGAAGAAGGUAUCUUUGGGUCUGGCUCUUGUCUAUGUUUCUUGGAACAGAACGUCACAGAGGGUGAGAAUCCCGUGCGAUGAGAUGAUCCAGGCCUAUGUAAAGUUCCUUCGAAGAGUCGAGUUGUUUGGGAAUGCAGCUCUAAGUGGGUGGUAAAUUCCAUCUAAAGCUAAAUAUUGGCGAGAGACCGAUAGCGAACAAGUACAGUGAUGGAAAGAUGAAAAGAACUUUGAAAAGAGAGUGAAAAAGUACGUGAAAUUGUUGAAAGGGAAGGGCUUGAGAUCAGACUUGGUAUUUUGUAUGUUACUUCUUCGGGGGUGGCCUCUACAGUUUAUCGGGCCAGCAUCAGUUUGGGCGGUAGGAGAAUUGCGUUGGAAUGUGGCACGGCUUCGGUUGUGUGUUAUAGCCUUCGUCGAUACUGCCAGCCUAGACUGAGGACUGCGGUUUAUACCUAGGAUGUUGGCAUAAUGAUCUUAAGUCGCCCGUCUUGAA